Molecule: long non-coding RNA, 226 nt
Filed under: Homo sapiens (human)
Lineage: Eukaryota; Metazoa; Chordata; Mammalia; Primates; Hominidae
Description: non-protein coding lnc-OTOGL-1:6
Source: RNAcentral
GGGAAGGAAGGUUGUCCUGUCGGGCUGGGGGCUCCCGGGAAUCCGGAGGCCAGCAGUGGAACCGCAAGGCUCUACAGGGCAGAUCUGCCUCCCGUGCUGUCUCAGCUACGCCGAGUCGUUGGCUCAGGGCGGAGGAUUUUCCUAUUGGCCGCGUUAUUUGAAUGGAAUGGAGGAUAGGUCGUGAAGGUGGAACCAAGCAGAGGGGUUCACCCAAGCCAUCUUUGGG